GAUGAAGAACGUAGCGAAAUGCGAUACUUGGUGUGAAUUGCAGAAUCCCGUGAACCAUCGAGUCUUUGAACGCAAGUUGCGCCCGAAGCCGUCAGGCCGAGGGCACGCCUGCCUGGGCGUCACACGCCGUUGCCCCCCCGCGCCCCGCACCCAACUCUUUGGGAGCGACCGCGGGGCGGGCUGAUGAUGGCCUCCCGUGCGCUCCGCCGCGCGGUUGGCCCAAAUACCGAGUCCCCGGCGACGUGCGCCACGACGAUCGGGGGUUGAGAGACCUCUGUCGCAAGUCGUGCGCGCCCGUCGCGUCACGCGGGCUCGCAUAGCGCCUCGCGCCGCACCCGGUGCGGAGCUUUCAACGCGACCCCAGGUCAGGCGGGGUUACCCGCUGAAUUUAAGCAUAUCAAUAAGCGGAGGA
RNAcentral lists this unclassified non-coding RNA (412 nucleotides) under soil metagenome. RNAcentral's name for it is "partial contains 5.8S ribosomal RNA, internal transcribed spacer 2, and large subunit ribosomal RNA". The stretch from base 1 to 122 matches the Rfam family "5.8S ribosomal RNA", at positions 35 to 154 of the family's 154-position model. The record is from RNAcentral.